UACGGAGGGUGCAAGCGUUGCUCGGAAUUAUUGGGCGUAAAGGGUAGGUAGGUGGUCUCAUUUGUCCGGGGUGAAAGCCUUGAGCUUAACUCAAGAAGUGCCCCGGAAACGGUGAGACUGGAGUCCUGGAGAGGUGAGUGGAAUUCCCGGUGUAGCGGUGAAAUGCGUAGAGAUCGGGAGGAACACCAGAGGCGAAGGCGGCUCACUGGACAGGUACUGACACUCAACUACGAAAGCGUGGGGAGCAAACAGG
Molecule: ribosomal RNA, 253 nt
Filed under: uncultured bacterium
Lineage: Bacteria
Description: partial 16S ribosomal RNA
Rfam family: Bacterial small subunit ribosomal RNA
Source: RNAcentral